AACGAACGCUGGCGGCGUGCCUAACACAUGCAAGUCGUGCGAGAAAGUUCCUUCGGGAGCGAGUAAAGCGGCGCACGGGUGAGUAACACGUAGGUAACCUGCCCCCCAGUCUGGAACAACUAGAGGAAACUCUAGCUAAUGCCGGAUCGAGACCACGAUCCCUUCGGGGGUUGCGGCCAAAGAUGGCCUCUACUUGUAAGCUAUCGCUGAGGGAUGGGCCUGCGGGCCAUUAGCUUGUUGGUGAGGUAACGGCUCACCAAGGCUGUGAUGGCUAGCUGGUCUGAGAGGAUGACCAGCCACACUGGGACUGAGACACGGCCCAGACUCCUACGGGAGGCAGCAGUGGGGAAUAUUGCGCAAUGGGCGAAAGCCUGACGCAGCGACGCCGCGUGGGUGAUGAAGGCCUUCGGGUCGUAAAGCCCUGUCGCAGGGGAAGAAUAAGCAUCGGUAUAAUACGCCGGUGCCCUGACGGUACCCUGCAAGAAAGCACCGGCUAACUCCGUG
RNAcentral lists this ribosomal RNA (504 nucleotides) under uncultured bacterium. RNAcentral describes it as "bacterial SSU rRNA". It matches the Rfam family "Bacterial small subunit ribosomal RNA", at positions 29 to 507 of the family's 1533-position model. The record is from RNAcentral.